Molecule: transfer RNA, 77 nt
Filed under: Candidatus Omnitrophota bacterium
Lineage: Bacteria; Pseudomonadati; Candidatus Omnitrophota
Description: Candidatus Omnitrophica bacterium (aquatic metagenome) tRNA-Ala
Rfam family: tRNA
About the family: Transfer RNA (tRNA) molecules are approximately 80 nucleotides in length.
Source: RNAcentral
GGGGCAGUAGCUCAGUUUGGGAGAGCGCCUGAAUGGCAUUCAGGAGGUCGUGGGUUCGAUCCCCAUCUGCUCCACCA